This 459-nucleotide ribosomal RNA is filed under the name uncultured bacterium. RNAcentral's name for it is "bacterial SSU rRNA". It matches the Rfam family "Bacterial small subunit ribosomal RNA", at positions 30 to 507 of the family's 1533-position model. The record is from RNAcentral.
AUUAAACGCUGGCGGCAUGCCUUACACAUGCAAGUCGAACGGCAGCACGGGGGCAACCCUGGUGGCGAGUGGCGAACGGGUGAGUAGAGCAUCGGAACGUGCCCUGGAAUGGGGGAUAACGUAGCGAAAGUUACGCUAAUACCGCAUAUUCUGUGAGCAGGAAAGCAGGGGAUCGCAAGACCUUGCGUUCUGGGAGCGGCCGAUGUCGGAUUAGCUAGUUGGUGGGGUAAAGGCCUACCAAGGCGACGAUCCGUAGCGGGUCUGAGAGGAUGAUCCGCCACACUGGGACUGAGACACGGCCCAGACUCCUACGGGAGGCAGCAGUGGGGAAUCUUAGACAAUGGGCGCAAGCCUGAUCUAGCCAUGCCGCGUGAGCGAUGAAGGCCUUAGGGUUGUAAAGCUCUUUCAGUGGGGAAGAUAAUGACUGUACCCACAGAAGAAGCCCCGGCUAACUCCGUG